UACAGAGGGGGCAAGCGUUAUUCGGAAUUAUUGGGCGUAAAGGGCGCGUAGGCGGCCUUGCAAGUGGCGGGUGAAAUCCCUCGGCUUAACCGAGGAACUGCCUGCCAGACUGCAAGGCUCGAGACCGGGAGAGGUGAGUGGAAUUCCCAGUGUAGCGGUGAAAUGCGUAGAUAUUGGGAGGAACACCAGUGGCGAAGGCGGCUCACUGGACCGGAACUGACGCUGAGGCGCGAAAGCGUGGGGAGCAAACGGG
This 253-nucleotide ribosomal RNA is filed under the name uncultured bacterium. Its description in RNAcentral is "partial 16S ribosomal RNA". It matches the Rfam family "Bacterial small subunit ribosomal RNA", at positions 524 to 776 of the family's 1533-position model. The record is from RNAcentral.